AUUGAACGCUGGCGGAAUGCUUUACACAUGCAAGUCGAGCGGCAGCGCGGGGCAACCUGGCGGCGAGCGGCGAACGGGUGAGUAAUGCAUCGGAACAUGUCCAUUCGUGGGGGAUAGCCCGGCGAAAGCCGGAUUAAUACCGCAUACGCCCUGAGGGGGAAAGCGGGGGACCUCGCAAGAGGCCUCGCGCGAAUGGGUUGGCCGAUGUCCGAUUAGCUAGUUGGUGAGGAAAGGCUCACCAAGGCGAUGAUCGGUAGCUGGUCUGAGAGGAUGAUCAGCCACGACUGGGACUGAGACACGGCCCAGACUCCUACGGGAGGCAGCAGUAGGGAAUCUUGCGCAAUGGGCGAAAGCCUGACGCAGCCAUGCCGCGUGAAUGAUGAAGGUCUUAGGAUUGUAAAAUUCUUUCACCGGGAAGAUAAUGACGGUACCGGAGAAGAAGCCCGGCUAACUUCGUGCCAGCAGCCGCGGUAAC
Molecule: ribosomal RNA, 475 nt
Filed under: uncultured bacterium
Lineage: Bacteria
Description: bacterial SSU rRNA
Rfam family: Bacterial small subunit ribosomal RNA
Source: RNAcentral